GGGUAUCUUGUUGGAGAUCCCUGUGCACCUGGGGCUUUCUAAAGUUUGUAAGGCAUGUAUGCCAAUGAAUGAACAUAUGAAGUACAUGGAAGAGGUCAGAACUGGACUUUGGAUGGCAGGUGCUCGUCUGGUUGUUUCCAUUACCAAAGUCUAUGUUCCAGAGAGAAACCAAGCUCACUGGCAACCACGCAGUCUUCACAUGAAAAUUCAGAAGUACAUUUUUAAACUAUCCCAACCGCUUUCUUGCUUUCACUGACCAGCAAAUCCCUUAUUAUGAAAAAGAAGCAGAUUUCUGAUGCUGAAGGACACCGUCGUCGUGUUUCUUCACUUCUUCUAGCUGAAUCAUUGGGAACUGUACUUGUUUUUCAAACCAUUUGGCUACUGUGAGCAGCUGCUUCUCUUGGAAUGAGCGCCCAAUGAACUGAAGCCCAAUUGGCAAGCCUCUUUCUGAAAGAGCUGUAGGAACAUUUACGGCUGGCAGUCCUGAAACAAAAGAAGUUAUGCGCACAAAGGCUUACUAUUAAACAAAUCCAGUUAGAGUCAUUUCUGUAACAAUUCUGAGAGAACCAGAGCAGCUCAGCAGCAUUUUAAAAUCUAGCCCUACAUCACAAAGCAUUUUACAAAUGCACUGUACUUAUGUGUAAAGUUGUUAACUUACUACUGUAAUUUAACGAGAGGGGUGAGGUAUCUCAAUUCUGUGUAAGAGCUCAAGAGGCUGAAGGGGAUGGAUGUUACACGCAGGAGAAAACAUAGUUGAAUUCCUGUCUCUACUCACCGGCCAUGUUUGCAGCCUGUGUUAGGAUGUCAUCUUGUGUGCUGCGAGUUCUGUUGUCUUCUUUGAUGAAUUCCACAUAUGGGAUUGCAUCGCUCAGAGUGAUAGGAGUGAGUAAAAUAUCAAUACCACUUCCAAAAACCUUCACAAAGUCAUUGGCAAUGAGACGUCUGACUUUCUGUGCUUUGACAAAGUAAUCCUCAUAAUUCCUAGAAAGAAAUAUGGGUGUGAGGGUGGAAUGCUAGAAUUCUGAGAAUACAGAACAAUUUCUUAGUUACUAUAAAAGAGAGAAGCUCUAUAUUCCUCCCGAUUAAGAGGCUAACAUGUAUUUGAGUUUCUCCUCUACCACAAGCUUAGUCACCAAACACAGUGUUUACGUUCUCAGAGCCAUGAAGAUGUCAGAGAAAAAAGACAUAAGAAAAUUCUGUUGAAGUAAAGUGAAGGGAAAACAAAAUCCUAGUUUAAAAUAGCUGAAGAUCAGAGUAAUGCUCUUAUGGCCUUUCUGAAACUAAACUGUAUAUUGGAUUUCACUGCAGAAAGGUAUAGUAAAGUCUAGAAAUAAUAUAGAAGGUUUGCAGAAUAGACAUUAAACUCUAGGAUUCAAUCCAGUUAGACACUUAAUGAAUGUGAAAAACUCCCCUGAUCUAUGCAGACAUCCAAAUGGACUUAAAACCAAGGAUGUGUUUCUAGUACGCAUCUUACUAAACUAUUAUCUUUCCUCAAUUUUUUUUUCUCCUUAUAUUAAGUAUGGGGUUUAUGGCUUUCUAAACUGUCUUUAUGCAAUUCUAAAGCAGAAACAAGUUAGUUAGCUUUAUGUUUACUGUUCUUUUUAAUUUCAUAUGUAGAAUUGGUAAACAUGUAACAGAAGUCAUAACUUCACAGUUUAGUUUCUAAAGCAAUCGCCAACAAUUACUCUUUAAAAGAAAAGGAAUAAAACACUGAUAAAUCAAACCUACUCGGUUAAUUCUGAUGCAGUGUCUAUAAGCAACCAUCAUUUCAUGAAUGAUCACAUGGUUAUUUUAUAAAAAGCAAGAGCAAAAUAUUCUGUAAAAGGCAAUGCUUACAGGAAACACAGAUGUUUGUACUUUGUUUGUCUCAAGAAUGCUUGCAGAACCCUGGAUUUUGUUCUUCAAGAGUAACUUACUGUUGACAGAAACAGGACUCUCUUGUUCAGUCCUGAUGGAACACAAUCCUAUGCUCCUUCACAAAAAAGUGAGCUGCAUGAAAUUUAAAGCAGUCUUUGGAAAGCUGACCUGGACAGUUGUGACCAGAAUGAGCAUACUUGGCAGGAAUAUCAGCAUUCCAUAAAAGCUGCUUCUUAUCUACUGACUGACAACAUUCCUGUCUCUGAGAGCAACUACAAGUCUCUUCUGAUGAAUGCUGUUGCUGACAGAAGGAGCUUUAUCACGCACUUGUUUUGAGACAAAUUGCAGGACCAGUUUUUCUGUUAGUAUCUAAACAAAUUAAGUAGGACUCCUGCUUUCUCUCACAUACUAGGAUAGUAAAUAAGGAGUGAAAAUGGAGAUGAAAAAAGUUAAAUUGAUCCAUUCACCAGGCUCUCUACAUGAGUUGAAUUAAAAAAAAAACAAACCUGUCUUCUAUAAAAACAUUAGUUCAGACAUCUUUGCCUUCUCCCCCUUGCAUACUAAGGCAGAGAGCUAUAGUUAAUUUAACUGCUGUAUCAUCUGCCUUGCUCUAGAAGACCUCAGCAGAAUGCACCAGCAGUUCUUCUAUGCAGCUUUACUGAGAUUAACACCUACAGAACUACAAGAGGAUGGUUUUACUGUGAUUUCAGUGUCAUUCUACAGGAUAUAUACUUCCUUAUUUUAACUAUUAGGUGACAAUAAUCCUCUGUGGGGGGGGGGGGGGGGGGGGGGGGGGGGGGGGGAAAUCACAAAGGUGUUUUACUUAACUCAGAAGGCUCCCUGGUACGAGUAAGGAAAAACAUUUUCAUUCACUGCUAACAGUUCACUAGUUAUUACAUAGCUAAAGCAAUAAUAACCAUAGAAGUAGCUAGUAGCUUGAGGACAUUUCUUUCUCAUGUCUUGAUGAACAACUCUUUGCCAUUUGCUUAACAAAUUAUUAACUUAAUAAAUCUGAGUUUCAAGAUGAGUUCCACUUACUGUUUCAACAAGAAGUAGUUUCCUGAUAGAAUUCUUCCUCUUACAACAUCGCUAAAUCCUUCUCGUCGUGUUGCAGCAUACAUGCUUUCUGUGGACUUGCUCAUGUCAGAACGAUGUCCUGGAAAGAAAAGGCAAUUUAGAAACAGUUUUUGUGGUUUUUAAGAUCCAAUAACGUAAUGGUACCCAUAAUAGUACAAUAGGCUGCAGUUUGGUGCAGACUGACAUGCUGCUAUUCUGGAAAAAUCCACAAACCAUAUUCCUUCCACGUUCCAUCACAGAGAAGAUUUUAACCCCAGACAUUCACGUGUCCACAAGUAAAACACAAUAAAAUAUUUCUUUGUUUACUUCAGCUUUUAUGUGCACAGGGUUUUCCUAUUCCAGUCCAAAAGAACAUCACCAAACAUUCAACUAUGAAAUACAUACUAUCCAAACUGGUCAUUCUUAAUACCAUUUAGCAAGGUUUCUUGCAACAAUAACACAACAACAAUAACAAAAUAAUUUAAAAGGCCUUACCAUAUUCCAGUCCAUCAAACCUGGCCAUAUUUGAUGCCACUUCUGCAGUGCAGAGCACAUGAUAGCAGACGAUUGAGUAAUGGGUGUGUGGUAAACUCACUUCAACUACUUUAGCACCUGCGUUCUUAAAGAGGUCAGCAGCCUUUGACCAAACAGCCAGAAUUUCACUAGAAAGCCCUGGUACAUGGUACUCCUUAGAGAAAAACAAGAAUAAGUGAUGUUUACUUUUACUGGCAACCAACACAUAAAUACUAUUUGCUAAAAAUACUUUGAAACUAUGAACACUACGUGCUUUUAAAUACUUACUACAGCCUAUCACAUCUACUAAAUAUUAUAAAAGCAAGCAGUACUAAAUAAACUGGAAUCCAUCAUCUGAAGAAUAUUAUGUUCGCCUUACAAACUACAGCCCGUAACACAGUCCAUAAUGGAAUUUCAGCAGUUCUCUUCUGGAGAAAAUGUUCACUUGUUCAUCUAGUCAUAGAGACCACACCACAUGGCUCUAUAGUUCAUGGGUAGAAGCUGUUCAGAUGCAAGCCUUAAUACUAGGGGUAUUUUUAGCAGGGAAGAAGCUAUGCUCACGGCAAAUCAGCAGCUACUAGCACACCUCAGGCAAACAAGCAACCCACCAGAGAACUACAAUCACAAGGUUGGGAUAGGACUUAGGACAAGCAACACUCCUGUUUUAAGAUAUUUGCUU
Gallus gallus (chicken) is the source of this 4105-nucleotide long non-coding RNA. RefSeq lists it as uncharacterized. NCBI's taxonomy places the organism in Eukaryota, Metazoa, Chordata, Aves, Galliformes, Phasianidae. The transcript is spliced from 4 exons. The record is from RefSeq and is a predicted model, not a curated record.